RNAcentral lists this ribosomal RNA (317 nucleotides) under Tylos sp. clade G MM-2013. RNAcentral's name for it is "partial 16S large subunit ribosomal RNA". The record is from RNAcentral. Lineage: Eukaryota; Metazoa; Arthropoda; Malacostraca; Isopoda; Tylidae.
AUGAUUUGACGAAAGAAAAUCUGUCUUAGCUUAUUAAAAAAAAAUUAACCUAGAAGUUAAAAGGCUUCUAUUUCCUAAAGGGACGACAAGACCCUAUAAAGCUUUAUUUAUAAUAUUUUUAUUUACUUCAAUAAAAAAUAUAAAUUUAUAAAUUCUAUUGGGGCGAUAGAUAAAUAAACAUUAUUGACUAUAACGUUUUUAACGAAAUUUAUAAAAUGUUUUUAAAACCUACAACAAGUUACUUUAGGGAUAACAGCAUAAUUUCUUUUUAGAGUCCUUAUCGACAAAGAAGAUUAUGACCUCGAUGUUGGAUUAAG